UACAGAGGGUGCGAGCGUUGUUCGGAAUUACUGGGCGUAAAGCGCGUGUAGGCGGUCUACUAAGUCAGAUGUGAAAGCCUGGGGCUUAACUCCAGAAGUGCAUUUGAAACUAUUAGGCUAGAGUGAUGUAGAGGAUGGCGGAAUACCCAGUGUAGAGGUGAAAUUCGUAGAGAUUGGGUAGAACACCGGUGGCGAAGGCGGCCAUCUGGGCAUUAACUGACGCUGAGACGCGAAAGCGUGGGGAGCAAAC
This 250-nucleotide ribosomal RNA is filed under the name uncultured bacterium. RNAcentral's name for it is "partial 16S ribosomal RNA". It matches the Rfam family "Bacterial small subunit ribosomal RNA", at positions 524 to 773 of the family's 1533-position model. The record is from RNAcentral.